Molecule: ribosomal RNA, 1172 nt
Filed under: Aeromicrobium sp.
Lineage: Bacteria; Bacillati; Actinomycetota; Actinomycetes; Propionibacteriales; Nocardioidaceae
Description: bacterial SSU rRNA
Rfam family: Bacterial small subunit ribosomal RNA
Source: RNAcentral
AACCAUUGGAAACGAUGGCUAAUGCCGAAUAUGAACCCCUUUCGCAUGUUGGGGGUUGGAAAGCUCCGGCGGAGAAGGAUGAGCUCGCGGCCUAUCAGCUUGUUGGUGAGGUAAUGGCUCACCAAGGCAUUGACGGGUAGCCGGCCUGAGAGGGUGACCGGCCACACUGGGACUGAGACACGGCCCAGACUCCUACGGGAGGCAGCAGUGGGGAAUAUUGGACAAUGGGCGAAAGCCUGAUCCAGCAACGCCGCGUGAGGGAUGACGGCCUUCGGGUUGUAAACCUCUUUCAGCAGGGACGAAGCGAAAGUGACGGUACCUGCAGAAGAAGGACCGGCCAACUACGUGCCAGCAGCCGCGGUAAUACGUAGGGUCCGAGCGUUGUCCGGAAUUAUUGGGCGUAAAGGGCUCGUAGGCGGUUUGUCGCGUCGGGAGUGAAAACUCAGGGCUCAACCCUGAGCGUGCUUCCGAUACGGGCAGACUAGAGGUAUUCAGGGGAGAACGGAAUUCCUGGUGUAGCGGUGGAAUGCGCAGAUAUCAGGAGGAACACCGGUGGCGAAGGCGGUUCUCUGGGAAUUACCUGACGCUGAGGAGCGAAAGCAUGGGGAGCGAACAGGAUUAGAUACCCUGGUAGUCCAUGCCGUAAACGUUGGGCGCUAGGUGUGGGGACCUUCCACGGUUUCCGUGCCGCAGCUAACGCAUUAAGCGCCCCGCCUGGGGAGUACGGCCGCAAGGCUAAAACUCAAAGGAAUUGACGGGGGCCCGCACAAGCGGCGGAGCAUGCUGAUUAAUUCGAUGCAACGCGAAGAACCUUACCUGGGUUUGACAUAUGCCGGAAAGCUGCAGAGAUGUGGCCCCCCUUGUGGUCGGUAUACAGGUGGUGCAUGGCUGUCGUCAGCUCGUGUCGUGAGAUGUUGGGUUAAGUCCCGCAACGAGCGCAACCCUCGUUCUAUGUUGCCAGCACGUUAUGGUGGGGACUCAUAGGAGACUGCCGGGGUCAACUCGGAGGAAGGUGGGGAUGACGUCAAGUCUUCAUGCCCCUUAUGUCCAGGGCUUCAAGCAUGCUACAAUGGCCGGUACAAAGGGCUGCGAAACCGCAAGGUGGAGCGAAUCCCAAAAAGCCGGUCUCAGUUCGGAUUGGGGUCUGCAACUCGACCCCAUGAAGUCGGAGU